UUUCCGUAGGUGAACCUGCGGAAGGAUCAUUAACGAGUAAAGUCCUUCGGGACUUUCUUAUCCAAACACCUGUGAAAAUUAAUUUUUGCUUUGAGAAUUUAAUUAUCCCCAACAAUCAAAACCACUAGUUGUCUUUUGUCUGGAUGAUUAUUUAAAAUCAAAACUUUUAACAACGGAUCUCUUGGUUCUC
This 190-nucleotide unclassified non-coding RNA is filed under the name plant metagenome. Its description in RNAcentral is "partial contains small subunit ribosomal RNA, internal transcribed spacer 1, and 5.8S ribosomal RNA". The record is from RNAcentral.